AUACAUGCUAACGCGGCUCAAAGUAUAGUACGUGUCUUCUUAUAAGCUUAAUAUCUGAUACUAGUUGUAUUUGGACCGAAGGUAAUACAACUAUUUCUGCAAGUUGAUGGAGUACUUCAAGCCUGCCUAACAUCCGCCGCGCGUCGGCCUGGUGUUGCACCAUCUUCGGGAUCGGCCACGUGUG
Dermacentor andersoni is the source of this 184-nucleotide small nuclear RNA. RefSeq annotates it as U2 spliceosomal RNA. The record is from RefSeq and is a predicted model, not a curated record. NCBI's taxonomy places the organism in Eukaryota, Metazoa, Arthropoda, Arachnida, Ixodida, Ixodidae.